This 497-nucleotide ribosomal RNA is filed under the name uncultured bacterium. RNAcentral's name for it is "partial 16S ribosomal RNA". It matches the Rfam family "Bacterial small subunit ribosomal RNA", at positions 28 to 507 of the family's 1533-position model. The record is from RNAcentral.
GAUGAACGCUGGCGGCGUGCCUAAUACAUGCCAGUCGAGCGAACGGACGAGAAGCUUGCUUCUCUGAUGUUAGCGGCGGACGGGUGAGUAACACGUGGAUAACCUACCUAUAAGACUGGGAUAACUUCGGGAAACCGGAGCUAAUACCGGAUGAUAUUUUGAACCGCAUGGUUCAAAAGUGAAAGACGGUCUUGCUGUCACUUAUAGAUGGAUCCGCGCUGCAUUAGCUAGUUGGUAAGGUAACGGCUUACCAAGGCAACGAUGCAUAGCCGACCUGAGAGGGUGAUCGGCCACACUGGAACUGAGACACGGUCCAGACUCCUACGGGAGGCAGCAGUAGGGAAUCUUCCGCAAUGGGCGAAAGCCUGACGGAGCAACGCCGCGUGAGUGAUGAAGGUCUUCGGAUCGUAAAACUCUGUUAUUAGGGAAAAACAUAUGUGUAAGUAACUGUGCACAUCUUGACGGUACCUAAUCAGAAAGCCACGGCUAACUACGUG